CCCAAAAUUAAGAGAGCUAUUGUAGAACAGUUGUCAGAACAAACUCAUUUAUGUGGCAAAAUAGUGAGAUGAAUUUAUAAUAGGGGUGAAAAACCUGUCAAACUUAAUGAUAGCUGG
Sarcophilus harrisii (Tasmanian devil) is the source of this 117-nucleotide non-coding RNA. The record is from Rfam. Lineage: Eukaryota; Metazoa; Chordata; Mammalia; Dasyuromorphia; Dasyuridae.